Molecule: long non-coding RNA, 922 nt
Filed under: Mytilus galloprovincialis (Mediterranean mussel)
Lineage: Eukaryota; Metazoa; Mollusca; Bivalvia; Mytilida; Mytilidae
Source: RNAcentral
CUCCUCCAUUGACGAUCUAUAGAAACAACUAUAUACACUUAACCUAACUAUGCAGCAAGCUCUGUUCGCUUCUCUUUUAAAUAAAAAAACAAAACAUGUUAUUGGCAAAAUUUGUGCCACCAUUUGUGGCGCUAUUUUAUUUCUACUGUAAUUCUAAAUUUAUUUACAACAACUAUAAUGAUAAGCGAAGGUGGGGACCAAACAUUUGCCCCUUCACAUAAACAUAAAAGAAACAGAUUUAAAAUAAACAUUAUAACAAUAUAAAACUAAAAAGUUACAUUCUACUCAAGAUGUAAUAGCUAACAAAGUAACAUAAUGGCAUGAGUCUUCUAAAUACAAUGCUUUCAUAAACUUUCUCAAACUUUCUCCUGAGUUUUAGUAGUUUAAAAGGAGGUGGUUGGGGACGAGGCGGAAAUCAAUAAAAUGAAAAUUAAUUGAUUAAUCCUUUAAUCAAAAUUUUCAAUUAGUUCAAGAUCAGCAAGAAAUGCGUGCACAUCAAACUAAUCAAUAUUCAUGAGCAAUUAAUUUUAGACAAUAGCCGAAAUGACAUCGGGUUGGACAUUACACAAAUGCUCUGUUCUUCGCAUAAAUGUGUUAUUUAUUUUAUUCAUAACCCUAUUUUACCAAACAUUUGCCACCGAAUUGUGUCACAAUUCCCCCACCCGCAGCUGCAUGAAAAUAUAUCAAAACAUAAUCAUAUUGCAAAUAUAACACUAAAAGAGAAAUAUUAUACAUGUAUUACAACAACCUAUUUAAAUUGUCCAGUUUCUUUGUGACUGCUCAUGCUCGUCACCAAAUAAAGGUAGUGUGUGAAAAGUAUCAUAUAAAAAUACAUUUGUAUACUGUAUAUGGUUAUACAACAUUGCAUAAUUUAACCAUACAUUUGGAUACAAUUUUGCAAAAAUAAAAAUAAUGUUUAUAA